UGGGAGGGGGGCUUGCCCCCGAUGGCGGUGUAUCAGUCACUACCGCUAUCGGGGGCAAGCCCCCUCCCAC
RNAcentral lists this unclassified non-coding RNA (70 nucleotides) under Pseudomonas azotoformans. Lineage: Bacteria; Pseudomonadati; Pseudomonadota; Gammaproteobacteria; Pseudomonadales; Pseudomonadaceae. The record is from RNAcentral.